AUCAAAUCUAGAAGUUUAUUGGCGUUCGAAAUUAAAAAUACCUUUUUAAAUUCUCUUUGCUAACUCGCUUGUAAUGCUUGCAGACAUUUCGGCCUGGGACUUCGGUCAGGAAGCGGUAUCCAGUGCAUAAUCUGUAGUUAAUGCAGAUUCCACCGAGUGUCCAGCACGGAGUUGUCAUCAUCGAUCCUGAGAAUGGAAUUUUUAAUAUGAAUGCUAGUAGGACCUAUAUUAUAUUCUUUUAGCUUAGAGAUUCUUCAGUGGGCAAGAAGUUUCUGGAAAUGUAUGUAUCAAUAUU
Long non-coding RNA from Manduca sexta (tobacco hornworm), 295 nucleotides. RefSeq lists it as uncharacterized. The transcript has 3 exons. The record is from RefSeq and is a predicted model, not a curated record. Lineage: Eukaryota; Metazoa; Arthropoda; Insecta; Lepidoptera; Sphingidae.